CCGUCGUCAGUUCGUACUGUGAAGCAUCCUGUUAAGUCAGGCAACGAGCGAGACCCACGUCCACAGUUGCCAGCAUACCCUCCGGGGUGAUGGGUACACUGUGGAGACCGCCGCUGCUAAAGCGGAGGAAGGAAUGGGCAACGGUAGGUCAGUAUGCCCCGAAUCUCCCGGGCUACACGCGGGCUACAAUGGUUGGUACAAUGGGCAUCUACCCGAAAGGGGAAGGAAAUCUCUUAAAGCCAAUCGUAGUUCGGAUUGAGGGCUGCAACUCGCCCUCAUGAAGCUGGAAUCCGUAGUAAUCGCGUUUCAACAGAACGCGGUGAAUACGUCCCUGCUCCCUU
This 341-nucleotide ribosomal RNA is filed under the name uncultured Methanosaeta sp. Its description in RNAcentral is "bacterial SSU rRNA". It matches the Rfam family "Archaeal small subunit ribosomal RNA", at positions 998 to 1338 of the family's 1478-position model. Lineage: Archaea; Methanobacteriati; Methanobacteriota; Methanomicrobia; Methanotrichales; Methanotrichaceae. The record is from RNAcentral.